CAGUCGCCGCGGGAAAACCAGCACCUCGAGUGGUCAGGAGGUUUAUUGGGCCUAAAGCAUCCGUAGCCGGUUGCAUAAGUUUUCGGUUAAAUCUAUGCGCUUAACGUAUAGGCCGCCGAAAAUACUGUGCAGCUAGGGAGUGGGAGAGGUACACGGUACUCGAUUGGAAGGGGUAAAAUCCUUUGAUCUAUUGAUGACCACCUGUGGCGAAGGCGGUGUACCAGAACACGUUCGACGGUGAGGGAUGAAAGCUGGGGGAGCAAACCGGAUUAGAUACCCCUGUAGUCCCUGUCUCUUAUAC
This 301-nucleotide ribosomal RNA is filed under the name uncultured bacterium. RNAcentral describes it as "partial 16S ribosomal RNA". It matches the Rfam family "Archaeal small subunit ribosomal RNA", at positions 459 to 760 of the family's 1478-position model. The record is from RNAcentral.